RNAcentral lists this ribosomal RNA (497 nucleotides) under uncultured bacterium. RNAcentral's name for it is "partial 16S ribosomal RNA". It matches the Rfam family "Bacterial small subunit ribosomal RNA", at positions 28 to 507 of the family's 1533-position model. The record is from RNAcentral.
GAUGAACGCUGGCGGCGUGCCUAAUACAUGCAAGUCGAGCGAACGGACGAGAAGCUUGCUUCUCUGAUGUUAGCGGCGGACGGGUGAGUAACACGUGGAUAACCUACCUAUAAGACUGGGAUAACUUCGGGAAACCGGAGCUAAUACCGGAUGAUAUUUUGAACCGCAUGGUUCAAAAGUGAAAGACGGUCUUGCUGUCACUUAUAGAUGGAUCCGCGCUGCAUUAGCUAGUUGGUAAGGUAACGGCUUACCAAGGCAACGAUGCAUAGCCGACCUGAGAGGGUGAUCGGCCACACUGGAACUGAGACAUGGUCCAGACUCCUACGGGAGGCAGCAGUAGGGAAUCUUCCGCAAAGGGCGAAAGCCUGACGGAGCAACGCCGCGUGAGUGAUGAAGGUCUUCGGAUCGUAAAACUCUGUUAUUAGGGAAGAACAUAUGUGUAAGUAACUGUGCACAUCUUGACGGUACCUAAUCAGAAAGCCACGGCUAACUACGUG